GGUGGUGGUGGAGAUGGUGGUGGUGGUGGUGUUGGUGGGAGUGCUAUGAGAUACGACGCGGAAGAGAAAGGAGAUGGCCGUGGAGAGAAAGGACUACUUAAUGUGGAAGAGAAAGCUCGUCGAAUGAAGGACCGAAGGAAAGGGAGAAGGAGAGGAGAUAGGCAGCAGGGUGUUGUGGGAGGAGCACGAGACGCGGAAAAAGAACGCACAUCGUGGAAGGAUAUACGCUAAUGCACGAGAAGGACGACGACGACGACGAGAACGAUGGCGAGAACGAUGGCGACGACGACGAUGACGACGAUGAUGAGAAACUCUGAGACCGCGUCGGGCAAGAACAAACGAACAACAAGAACGAACGAACGAAUAAACGAAUAAACGAACGAACGAACGAACGAACGAACGAA
This is a long non-coding RNA of Vespula pensylvanica (western yellowjacket), 404 nucleotides long. RefSeq lists it as uncharacterized. The record is from RefSeq and is a predicted model, not a curated record. Lineage: Eukaryota; Metazoa; Arthropoda; Insecta; Hymenoptera; Vespidae. The transcript is spliced from 2 exons.